Molecule: ribosomal RNA, 206 nt
Filed under: uncultured bacterium
Lineage: Bacteria
Description: partial 16S ribosomal RNA
Rfam family: Bacterial small subunit ribosomal RNA
Source: RNAcentral
AGCGCAGGUGGUUUAUUAAGUCUGGUGUAAAAGGCAGUGGCUCAACCAUUGUAUGCAUUGGAAACUGGUAGACUUGAGUGCAGGAGAGGAGAGUGGAAUCCCAUGUGUAGCGGUGAAAUGCGUAGAUAUAUGGAGGAACACCGGUGGCGAAAGCGGCUCUCUGGCCUGUAACUGACACUGAGGCUCGAAAGGCGUGGGAGCAAACA